AUUGAACGCUGGCGGCAGGCCUAACACAUGCAAGUCGAACGCGUGUCGGAGAGGUGAGUAAUGUCUCUGAAACUGCGCGAUGGAGGGGGAUAACUACUGGAAACGCUAUCUAAUACAGCAUACCAUCUGAUGUGCCCAGAUGGGAUUAUCGAGUAGGUGGGGUAACGGCUCACCUAGGCGACGAUCCCUAGCUGGUCUGAGAGGAUGACCAGCCACACUGGAACUGAGACACGGUCCAGACUCCUACGGGAGGCAGCAGUGGGGAAUAUUGCACAAUGGGCGCAAGCCUGAUGCAGCCAUGCCGCGUGUAUGAAGAAGGCCUUCGGGUUGUAAAGUACUUUCAGCGGGGAGGCGUUACCCGCAGAAGAAGCACCGGCUAACUCCGUGCCAGCAGCCGCGGUAAUAC
This 406-nucleotide ribosomal RNA is filed under the name uncultured bacterium. RNAcentral describes it as "partial 16S ribosomal RNA". It matches the Rfam family "Bacterial small subunit ribosomal RNA", at positions 30 to 526 of the family's 1533-position model. The record is from RNAcentral.